AGUGAACGCUGGCGGUAGGCCUAACACAUGCAAGUCGAACGGCAGCACAGUAAGAGCUUGCUCUUACGGGUGGCGAGUGGCGGACGGGUGAGGAAUACAUCGGAAUCUACUUUUUCGUGGGGGAUAACGUAGGUAAACUUACGCUAAUACCGCAUACGACCUACGGGUGAAAGCAGGGGAUCUUCGGACCUUGCGCGAUUGAAUGAGCCGAUGUCGGAUUAGCUAGUUGGCGGGGUAAAGGCCCACCAAGGCAACGAUCCGUAGCUGGUCUGAGAGGAUGAUCAGCCACACUGGAACUGAGACACGGUCCAGACUCCUACGGGAGGCAGCAGUGGGGAAUAUUGGACAAUGGGCGCAAGCCUGAUCCAGCCAUACCGCGUGGGUGAAGAAGGCCUUCGGGUUGUAAAGCCCUUUUGUUGGGAAAGAAAAGCAGCAUGUUAAUACCCCGCUGUUCUGACGGUACCCAAAGAAUAAGCACCGGCUAACUUCGUG
This 492-nucleotide ribosomal RNA is filed under the name uncultured bacterium. Its description in RNAcentral is "partial 16S ribosomal RNA". It matches the Rfam family "Bacterial small subunit ribosomal RNA", at positions 29 to 507 of the family's 1533-position model. The record is from RNAcentral.